Molecule: unclassified non-coding RNA, 392 nt
Filed under: Melitaea cinxia (Glanville fritillary)
Lineage: Eukaryota; Metazoa; Arthropoda; Insecta; Lepidoptera; Nymphalidae
Description: misc RNA ENSMCXG00005000896.1
Source: RNAcentral
CCUAUAUUACAUUUACCAGAUUCCUGCGAGGUUGUUCGUGACAAUAUUUUAAAUGAGAACCAUAAGGAUGUUCAGAUAUUUAUCCGGUUUACACCAUGUGUCAAGUUCCUAUAUAAAUAGAGGAACAAUUGAUUGAUAUCAUAGUACGAUACUAGCCUUCAAAAUAAACAAUCAAAUCACUAUCAAGAUGUUCAAAUACGUAUUCUUCGCCGCUAUUCUGGCUUUCGCCACAGCAAAACCAUUAGUAGUGGAAUACCCAAUAGCUUCGGUAGCUUCCUACUCGACUCCGGUAGCAGUGGAUUACGAUUAUGUUGCACCAUAUUAUUACCCAGGGUCGCGGGAAGCUGCUGGAUACGUGCGCGCAGAACCGAUCGUCGUGGAAAGCAUUAGGG